This 25-nucleotide non-coding RNA is filed under the name Arabidopsis thaliana (thale cress). Lineage: Eukaryota; Viridiplantae; Streptophyta; Magnoliopsida; Brassicales; Brassicaceae. The record is from RNAcentral.
AUAUUUAUGUGUAAUGGCCGGAACA